AUUAUGGCUCAGGACGAACGCUGGCGGCGUGCUUAACACAUGCAAGUCGAACGGAAAGGCCCGCUUGCGGGUACUCGAGUGGCGAACGGGUGAGUAACACGUGGGUAACCUGCCCCCUGCUUCGGGAUAACUCCGGGAAACCGGGGCUAAUACCGGAUAUUCAUUGCCUGCCGCAUGGUGGGUGGUGGAAAGUUUUUUCGGCUGGGGAUGGGCCCGCGGCCUAUCAGCUUGUUGGUGGGGUGAUGGCCUACCAAGGCUUCGACGGGUAGCCGGCCUGAGAGGGCGACCGGCCACACUGGGACUGAGACACGGCCCAGACUCCUACGGGAGGCAGCAGUGGGGAAUAUUGCGCAAUGGGCGGAAGCCUGACGCAGCGACGCCGCGUGAGGGAUGACGGCCUUCGGGUUGUAAACCUCUUUCAGCAGGGACGAAUGUAGACGGUACCUGUAGAAGAAGCACCGGCCAACUACGUGCCAGCAGCCGCGGUAAUACGUAGGGUGCGAGCGUUGUCCGGAAUUAUUGGGCGUAAAGAGCUCGUAGGCGGUCUGUCGCGUCGAAUGUGAAAACCCGGGGCUCAACUCCGGGCUUGCAUUCGAUACGGGCAGGCUAGAGUUCGGUAGGGGAGUCUGGAAUUCCUGGUGUAGCGGUGAAAUGCGCAGAUAUCAGGAGGAACACCGGUGGCGAAGGCGGGACUCUGGGCCGAUACUGACGCUGAGGAGCGAAAGCGUGGGGAGCGAACAGGAUUAGAUACCCUGGUAGUCCACGCCGUAAACGUUGGGCGCUAGGUGUGGGGGUCCUUCCACGAUCUCCGUGCCGCAGCUAACGCAUUAAGCGCCCCGCCUGGGGAGUACGGCCGCAAGGCUAAAACUCAAAG
RNAcentral lists this ribosomal RNA (874 nucleotides) under uncultured bacterium. Its description in RNAcentral is "bacterial SSU rRNA". It matches the Rfam family "Bacterial small subunit ribosomal RNA", at positions 16 to 906 of the family's 1533-position model. The record is from RNAcentral.